AACGAACGCUGGUGGCAUGCUUAAUACAUGCAAGUCGAACGAGAAAGGGCUUCGGCCUGAGUACAGUGGCGCACGGGUGAGUAACGCGUAGGUGACGUGCCCAUGAGUGGGGGAUAACAUAGGGAAACCUGUGCUAAUACCGCAUGUGUUGAACGAAUCUGAGAGUAGUUCAACAAAGAUGGCCUCUAUUUAUAAGCUAUCGCUAAUGGAACGGCCUGCGUAGCAUUAGCUUGUUGGUGGGGUAAUGGCU
This 250-nucleotide ribosomal RNA is filed under the name uncultured bacterium. RNAcentral's name for it is "partial 16S ribosomal RNA". It matches the Rfam family "Bacterial small subunit ribosomal RNA", at positions 29 to 265 of the family's 1533-position model. The record is from RNAcentral.